UAGGAGCCAGCGGAAGGAUGUUUCUUAGG
This 29-nucleotide non-coding RNA is filed under the name Mus musculus (house mouse). Lineage: Eukaryota; Metazoa; Chordata; Mammalia; Rodentia; Muridae. The record is from RNAcentral.